AAAUAAGUGCAUGCAAAUACAUCUGGAAGCAUUUCUGACUUGCCAAGUGCUCUGAAAGGGCAGCAGAUGCUCUUUCUUUUCAGGGUCAAGGUAAGCAUAUUCAAAGGGACUGAGGACCAUAAUAGAAGCGCACGGGCACAUACACACAUACAAAGUCACGCAUGAGUCACUUAAUGACAGGGACGCAUUCUGAGAAAUGCGUUGUCAGGAAAUUUCAUCACUGUACAAACAUCAUAGUGUGUACUUACACGAAGCCAGAUGGUAUAGCCUAUUACACACCUAGGUUACAUGGUA
RNAcentral lists this long non-coding RNA (294 nucleotides) under Homo sapiens (human). Its description in RNAcentral is "HSALNT0296114". The record is from RNAcentral. Lineage: Eukaryota; Metazoa; Chordata; Mammalia; Primates; Hominidae.